RNAcentral lists this small RNA (100 nucleotides) under Salmonella enterica subsp. enterica serovar Paratyphi A. RNAcentral's name for it is "partial RtT sRNA". It matches the Rfam family "RtT RNA", at positions 27 to 130 of the family's 130-position model. From Rfam's summary of the family: This family represents a bacterial cis-regulatory element known as RtT RNA. The exact function of RtT is unknown although it is thought that it may be involved in changing the cellular response in relation to amino acid starvation. The record is from RNAcentral. Lineage: Bacteria; Pseudomonadati; Pseudomonadota; Gammaproteobacteria; Enterobacterales; Enterobacteriaceae.
AACCUGCCGCAGGUUCGGGUCGAACGCAGUGAGACAACGGAGCCGUUUACGGCGACGGCCCGAAGGGCGAGCGAGGCGAGUCAUCCUGCACGACCCACCA